RNAcentral lists this ribosomal RNA (304 nucleotides) under uncultured bacterium. RNAcentral describes it as "partial 16S ribosomal RNA". It matches the Rfam family "Bacterial small subunit ribosomal RNA", at positions 506 to 807 of the family's 1533-position model. The record is from RNAcentral.
CAGCAGUCGCCACGGUAAUACGGAGGGUGCAAGCGUUAAUCGGAAUUACUGGGCGUAAAGCGCACGCAGGCGGUCUGUCAAGUCGGAUGUGAAAUCCCCGGGCUCAACCUGGGAACUGCAUUCGAAACUGGCAGGCUAGAGUCUUGUAGAGGGGGGUAGAAUUCCAGGUGUAGCGGUGAAAUGCGUAGAGAUCUGGAGGAAUACCGGUGGCGAAGGCGGCCCCCUGGACAAAGACUGACGCUCAGGUGCGAAAGCGUGGGGAGCAAACAGGAUUAGAUACCCCUGUAGUCCCUGUCUCUUAUAC